AGAAUUAGUGGUUGAAAGGAAAAAUUACUAUCUGCCAGGGGGAAGGAGAUCCUAUUAAAGGCGGUGAUCCAAGCCAUACCUACCUAUGCAUUGUUGGUCUUUAAAAUUCCUAACUGUAAAGGAAUCAUUGACGCGAUGGCGCAUUUCUGGUGAGGAGACGAGGAUAACCAAAAGAGGAUGCACUGGAUGCCCUGAUGGAAAAUGUGUGUACCAAAAAACCAAGGAGGAAUGAGAUUUCGUGAUAUCCAUUGUUUCAACCUGGCUCUGCUUGCAAAACAGGCAUGGCGUCUCCUUGAUAAUCCUGACUCCUUAUGUGCUACUAUUCUAAAGGCCAAGUACUAUCCUAAUGGUGAUUUGCUGAACUCCAAGCCAAAAGCAUGGCGCUUCCUUCACCUGACAAAGCAUUAUGGCAGGCAUCACUUCUCUCAAGCGAGGUUAUAUUUGGCGAGUAGGGGAUGGACAUAA
RNAcentral lists this ribosomal RNA (465 nucleotides) under Triticum aestivum (bread wheat). RNAcentral's name for it is "partial small subunit ribosomal RNA". The record is from RNAcentral. Lineage: Eukaryota; Viridiplantae; Streptophyta; Magnoliopsida; Poales; Poaceae.